GAUAUUAUAGUUUUUUAAAAAAUAUUUAUUUUGCAGAUAAAAGAAAGAAUUUUGUAUUCUUGAUAUUC
Molecule: transfer RNA, 68 nt
Filed under: Paratetraonchoides inermis
Lineage: Eukaryota; Metazoa; Platyhelminthes; Monogenea; Dactylogyridea; Tetraonchoididae
Description: tRNA-Ala
Source: RNAcentral